UUUUCGUGCCGCCGAUUGGGGUUUGGGGUCCGGAAAUCUGCGUUGAGUCUGGAACUACCCAGCUCCAGCCUUGGUAGACGACCCGCGCACUCCUCUUGCAGCUAAUUCGGGAUCAUUAAUUUAAUCGGAAAUGAGGUAACCAGUGUAGGAGAUAGAGAAAGCAAACCAAGCAUCGAAUGGCAGUUCUCGUGAAUCCACGCUGAAGAACUUCCUCUGGACUCGAUUUUUAAGCGCGGUUGUCAACACCCCACCACCCGGCCCCCUCCGCGUGUACCACCGCCAGGUGUUAGCUUGCCGGGAAGGAAUCUUCUUUGGAGGGGUGCACCUUGCCAACAGGUGUGGCACCUGGAGGAAGAGAAGGCACAUCCAUGCUAAAGGGAGGUCGGUGCGGCGUCCUCCUUAAUGCAGAUAAUUCUGGAAGACCAGUAGGUGUCGGGGCAGCAUUUGACCUCCUUCAGGUGCUUAGAACCAAGCGUCUGCAAACGUGAUCCCUCCACUACUGCAUUUCCGAAGAGCCUGAUUUAUGCACAAAUCUGCAUCAUCAUUGCUGAGAGAACACUCUGUGAGGAAUGUGCUGGGGUCCUGAACGUGAAGGUUUUCUUCACAGCAGCAGAGGGAGCACAAGAGUGCUUAGUAAAACAAGCGCACGGGCCCUCCAAGUGACCUAGAUAAAUUUUCAUCACUGCAACUGUGACCAAGAUUGAAUGUAAUGCAAUGGCCUGUGAAAUAUCAGAAUUUAUGGCCUUAAUCAUAGAAAGAACAUAACUCUUCUUACAUGAAAAGAAAACGGACAACAUUUCAAGGCUUAGAAUGAGUUCACUUCACUUUAUAUGUGAUGGAAAUGCUCCUAGGAGCUGAAAUAGUUCCAGAGUUCAACAGUCUGGGAAAUCUGAAGGAGGGAAAAAAACAAAAAAAAACAAAUAAGCCCUGCAUUUCCAAAGAUGUGAAGAGAGGACUCUGCUCUCUGAGGAUGGAAGGAAGUAAGAAGACCCUAUUUGUGGCUGCAGGAGAGGAAAAGAAAAAAGCCCACAAGGAAACUACCAGCAGAUG
This 1050-nucleotide long non-coding RNA is filed under the name Equus asinus (donkey). RNAcentral's name for it is "lncRNA (ENSEASG00005031643.1)". The record is from RNAcentral. Lineage: Eukaryota; Metazoa; Chordata; Mammalia; Perissodactyla; Equidae.